This 99-nucleotide small RNA is filed under the name Rhinopithecus bieti (black snub-nosed monkey). Its description in RNAcentral is "Y RNA (ENSRBIG00000005760.1)". The record is from RNAcentral. Lineage: Eukaryota; Metazoa; Chordata; Mammalia; Primates; Cercopithecidae.
GGUUUUUUCUUGCAGUGGUGUUUACAACUAACUGAUCACAGCCAGUUACAGAUGUCUUUGUUCCUUCUCCACUACUCUGCUUCACUUGACCAGCCUUAA